Molecule: ribosomal RNA, 303 nt
Filed under: uncultured bacterium
Lineage: Bacteria
Description: partial 16S ribosomal RNA
Rfam family: Bacterial small subunit ribosomal RNA
Source: RNAcentral
AGCAGCCGCCGCGGGAAAACGUAGGGUGCAAGCGUUAAUCGGAAUUACUGGGCGUAAAGCGUGCGCAGGCGGUUAUAUAAGACAGAUGUGAAAUCCCCGGGCUCAACCUGGGAACUGCAUUUGUGACUGUAUAGCUAGAGUACGGCAGAGGGGGAUGGAAUUCCGCGUGUAGCAGUGAAAUGCGUAGAUAUGCGGAGGAACACCGAUGGCGAAGGCAAUCCCCUGGGCCUGUACUGACGCUCAUGCACGAAAGCGUGGGGAGCAAACAGGAUUAGAUACCCCUGUAGUCCCUGUCUCUUAUAC